RNAcentral lists this ribosomal RNA (249 nucleotides) under Triticum aestivum (bread wheat). Its description in RNAcentral is "partial small subunit ribosomal RNA". The record is from RNAcentral. Lineage: Eukaryota; Viridiplantae; Streptophyta; Magnoliopsida; Poales; Poaceae.
AUGCUCUUCGUCAAGCUUGAUAUUGCAAAGGCGUUUGACACUGUGUCCUGGCCAUACCUGCUUGACAUGCUCCGCGCGAGGGGGUUUGGUUCGCGGUGGUGCGAGUGGAUGGCCAUGCUACUUGCGUCAUCUUCAUCGCGUGUGUUGGUCAACGAAGUGCCUGGCCAGCUCAUUAUACACUGGUGCGGAUUACGACAGGGUGACCCGUUGUCACCAUUCCUCUUCAUCCUCGCUAUGGAGCCCCUUUAG